AGAGGCCUAAUACAAAAUAAUCGCUUCUCUAUACAUUUUCUCGCUUGCGAGUGCGCACGUGGCGUUAAACUGGUGAGAAUCAUCCCCUACCAUCGCCACGUACCAUUCCUCUGCCAUCACCUUUCUCCUUCUCUCUUUGCACUCCCUCCACAUCUUCUCUUUAAAAAACCAGGCAACUCUUUCCCAAUCUUCCCUCCAAUCCAUAUCAUUUCUUUCUCUUUCUGUUGCAAGAUUCCAAGUUAGGAUCAACAACACUUGCACGCUUAUUAAUUCAUUAGAGAUUGUGGAGAUCAAAUUCAAGAGGAUGGCUGCAGCGGACAGGUGGUGCCGUGCUGGUGUAGUGAGGAUGCGAUGGAAAAUGCGAAAGACAGAGUGAAUGUGGCGGCAGGAAACGUGGAGGUUCGGCGUAAGAGACGAAGCAGAGCGCAGCGAGGCCAUGCAGGAUGCCAAGGAAAAAGCCGAAUCCUGAUUUGACUGAGCUUCUGGAAAGCUCUCAGACCUUACAAAAAUGAGAUAUGGCUUCAAAUUAAAUAUGGCUACAAAGAAGGAGGUGAUGCCGAAGAGGCAAUGACAUGGAGGACGGAAAAGAGAAAGUUGAUCAUGUUCAUGAUGAAGCUAAGCCGCAAUUUAAUACGGAUUCAGACAUGGCCUUAAAUAAUUAAGACUAGCAAGGCUCAGGAAGCAAUAGGGUAAGAAAGAUGGGUGGAUGUGUUUGAUGAAGCUUUAAUUUAGACAAGUUCAGUGAGGUAAAAGGACGCCAAGAAACAAUUUGUUUUCUGGGAAAGCCCAUGUAUGAAGCUGCCAAGGAGAGGAUGUCAAUGGCAAAUGGUGAUCAAAUGAGAAAGCCACUUACAUCCAUGACGAAGCUAAGCAGAAAAUUACCUGGCUUCAGGCAUAGCAUGAGGCUAGUAAGGCGAAGGAGGCAAUGCAAGGAGCUAUGAGGUAUUGUAUGGAAAGAGAUGGAUGCCUGAAGCUGUAAAUAAUGCAGGUGAGGCAUACAGCAGGUCAGCCAUUGUGGACGCAACUUUUCAAGGGAAGUCUUAAGUGUGAAGCUGCCAGGUUGAGUAUGUCAAAGGCCACUAGUGAUAUUGGAGCCAAGAUGCGAGAAUAUACUGCAGAUUGUUCAUGCUAUCUUAAACUGUGAGUCAUCGGAAGAAAAUAUUUUAAAGUUUCCUUCUAAUUUAAUUCUCGUAACAUUUUCUCUAAAAAAGAAUCUUGUCCAAUUACUUUUAUCUUGUGAAAAUCAGGUUCAAAUUCAAGAUGAUUUGGUUUUAUG
This is a long non-coding RNA of Manihot esculenta (cassava), 1276 nucleotides long. RefSeq lists it as uncharacterized. The record is from RefSeq and is a predicted model, not a curated record. NCBI's taxonomy places the organism in Eukaryota, Viridiplantae, Streptophyta, Magnoliopsida, Malpighiales, Euphorbiaceae. The transcript is spliced from 2 exons.